CCAGUGUUGUUCUAAGUUCCAUUGAGCCACACUCUGAAUCCCAGGAGAAGGAGGACACAGUCCUUACCCUAGAGGCUCUGCACAGAUGGGUGCCAAGAAGCAUUCUGCAGCCUCCCACACCUCGGAGUCAGCAGGAAGAGCCAUGUUAAAGAGGUGCAGGUAUAGGCAGGAGGAAGACACUUCCAGGUUGUUUCUUCAUGGAGUUACUCAGAGCUCAUGCAGAGCUGGCUACUGUUGCAGUAGCUGGAAUACAAACAGUGCAGUGCCUCUCACUUAGCACUCUUAGACCAAGAAAGAAUGCUCAUUGAUUCUGACAUGGUGGAGGACAAAUUGCCCCAACACGCAGAAGUGCAAUACUGUUAACUAAAUGAAACAGGAGCCCGAAUAGCACAAGUCAUACGAAUAAAGGCUGAUCUGAAGGAAAGGUAUGUAUCAGAGCAUUGAUUGAAGAUUUACUGUGGGCCAAGUAAAUCAGGUUUGAGGAGAUACAAAGAGAGAUAUGACAAUUUCAACAACAUCCUUGUGUCAAGGGAAUUACUGUUU
Molecule: long non-coding RNA, 543 nt
Organism: Canis lupus familiaris (dog)
Lineage: Eukaryota; Metazoa; Chordata; Mammalia; Carnivora; Canidae
Exons: 4
Source: RefSeq, a predicted model, not a curated record